This 99-nucleotide non-coding RNA is filed under the name bovine gut metagenome. Its description in RNAcentral is "SAM riboswitch (S box leader)". It matches the Rfam family "SAM riboswitch aptamer (S box leader)". Rfam says of the family: The SAM riboswitch is found upstream of a number of genes which code for proteins involved in methionine or cysteine biosynthesis in Gram-positive bacteria. The SAM riboswitch acts at the level of transcription termination control. The predicted structure consists of a complex stem-loop region followed by a single stem loop terminator region. The record is from RNAcentral.
CCUUAUCAAGAGUGGCGGAGGGGCAGGCCCUAUGAAACCCGGCAACCUGAUUUUUAUAAAUUAAGGUGCCAAAUCCUGCGGUAAUACCGAAAGAUGAGG